CGUUAAAAUGUCAUGUAGAACAAAAAAAAUAAAAUAAAAAAAUCGUAUGUUUUACAAUUUUUUUCAUAUUAAAUUAUGUUUCAUAGCUAAAUAUUUGAUAUUAAAUGAAAGCCCUGUUUCCCCUGAAUAAAAUGAUAUAUAAUAAGGGUGGGUGCAUUUACUAUGAAAGAGGUGAAUUACGGUUGGACAGACAUGUAGCGCAAAUGCCAGGUUUUGUUUACAUUUUGUUUUGUUCACAACGUGUACAUUUGGCUCCGUCCUUAAGGGGUUAAAUAGGGCUAAUCCCUCAAGUCCAUUGGUGGAUUCAGUGGGUGUGUGGAUCCUUUUCUUUUUCGAUUGAAGGAAGAAACCACCUCCAUCAGCUGUUUCUCACUCUUCCAAUUUGAAAUUAGCGCCCUUUGCGGAAUGAAACGGAAAUCGUCAUCAUCGCUGAAACCGGAAGUGACAUCGCGGAUACAUCCGCGUUCCAAUAUGCGUUCCAGCGGUAUUAUCUCCAUAGCAAACGGACGUGAUUGUCUCGGCCACAAUUCAUGUAAUAGAAAGAGAAUUAAUUACAGCCCCCAAAAUUCUGCUAAAGAGAAAGGUGUUAGUCAUAUGAUUUGAAGCACUCAUUUAUUCUAUGCACUAAAUAUUAGCAGCACUUAUUAAUCCAAU
This is a non-coding RNA of Pelobates cultripes (western spadefoot toad), 654 nucleotides long. The record is from the annotation of a GenBank genome assembly. NCBI's taxonomy places the organism in Eukaryota, Metazoa, Chordata, Amphibia, Anura, Pelobatidae.